This 221-nucleotide ribosomal RNA is filed under the name uncultured bacterium. RNAcentral's name for it is "partial 16S ribosomal RNA". It matches the Rfam family "Bacterial small subunit ribosomal RNA", at positions 111 to 334 of the family's 1533-position model. The record is from RNAcentral.
UAAUGUAUCGGAACGUGCCCAGUCGUGGGGGGUAACUGCUCGAAAGAGCAGCUAAUACCGCAUACGACCUGAGGGUGAAAGCGGGGGAGUCGCAAGACCUCGCGCGAUUGGAGCGGCCGAUAUCAGAUUAGGUAGUUGGUGAGGUAAAGGCUCACCAAGCCGACGAUCUGUAGCUGGUCUGAGAGGACGACCAGCCACACUGGGACUGAGACACGGCCCAG